This 429-nucleotide long non-coding RNA is filed under the name Erythranthe guttata (spotted monkey flower). RNAcentral's name for it is "long non-coding RNA (EGUT_LNC003159)". Lineage: Eukaryota; Viridiplantae; Streptophyta; Magnoliopsida; Lamiales; Phrymaceae. The record is from RNAcentral.
CUUAUGUUUAUUUUUCCUUUUUUUCGCAGAUUCAAUCCGGGGCCUGGAUUCGAGGAUCCAAAUUUGACCGAUCUGCUGUUUCAGAACUUCAAAAAGGUGGUCGAGCGCAGGUACAACAAAUGUAGCUGAUUCUCUUUAAUCUAUGUUAAAAAAAAUUGAUAAAGGGAUGUAUAGAAUUGAGCUCAUACAAAUAAAUCUUUGAUGUCUACGUGCGUUGCAUUGAAAACCAUACAUGUUAACCGUCUUUUGUUUUGUCAUUUCCCAAGUUUGUAGAUUGUAGUUCGCAACUGGCAACCUUCGAUUUUUUUAUGUGAAAUUGUCAUUUAACUUUGUGGAGUUUUGCAGUGUCCAGCUUUUUGAAGUUCUCUUAUGGUUAUUCGUGUGAACUGUUAGAAUGAUGAUCACAGAAAGAAAAAAUCCGCAUCAAUA